This is a small nuclear RNA of Dipodomys spectabilis (banner-tailed kangaroo rat), 107 nucleotides long. Lineage: Eukaryota; Metazoa; Chordata; Mammalia; Rodentia; Heteromyidae. The record is from RefSeq and is a predicted model, not a curated record.
GUGCUUAAUCUGGUAGCCCAUUCACUAACAUUGAAAUGAUACAGAGAAGAUUAGCAUGGCCCCUGAACAAGGAUGACUCGCAAAUUCAUGAGGCAAUCCAUAUUUAU